UACAGAGGUCUCAAGCGUUGUUCGGAUUCAUUGGGCGUAAAGGGUGUGUAGGUGGCGCGCUAAGUCGGGUGUGAAAUUUCGGAGCUUAACUCCGAAACUGCAUUCGAUACUGGCGUGCUUGAGGACUGGAGAGGAGACUGGAAUUCAUGGUGUAGCAGUGAAAUGCGUAGAGAUCAUGAGGAAGACCAGUGGCGAAGGCGGGAUCCUGGGCCAGUACUGACGCUGAUGAGCGAAAGCGUGGGGAGCAAACAGG
This 253-nucleotide ribosomal RNA is filed under the name uncultured bacterium. Its description in RNAcentral is "partial 16S ribosomal RNA". It matches the Rfam family "Bacterial small subunit ribosomal RNA", at positions 524 to 776 of the family's 1533-position model. The record is from RNAcentral.